AACGAACGCUGGCGGCAGGCCUAACACAUGCAAGUCGAACGCUCCGCAAGGAGAGUGGCAGACGGGUGAGUAACACGUGGGAAUCUUCCUAUCGGUACGGAAUAGCUCAGGGAAACUUGAGGUAAUACCGCAUACGCCCUUCGGGGGAAAGAUUUAUCGCCGAUAGAUGAGCCCGCGUCUGAUUAGCUAGUUGGUGGGGUAAUGGCCUACCAAGGCGACGAUCAGUAGCUGGUCUGAGAGGAUGACCAGCCACACUGGGACUGAGACACGGCCCAGACUCCUACGGGAGGCAGCAGUGGGGAAUAUUGGACAAUGGGCGCAAGCCUGAUCCAGCCAUGCCGCGUGAGUGACGAAGGUCUUCGGAUUGUAAAGCUCUUUUGCCAGGGACGAUAAUGACGGUACCCGCAGAAUAAGCCCCGGCUAACUUCGUG
Molecule: ribosomal RNA, 431 nt
Filed under: uncultured Alphaproteobacteria bacterium
Lineage: Bacteria; Pseudomonadati; Pseudomonadota; Alphaproteobacteria
Description: bacterial SSU rRNA
Rfam family: Bacterial small subunit ribosomal RNA
Source: RNAcentral